UGAGUAACCUGCCCUUAACUCUGGGAUAAGCCUGGGAAACUGGGUCUAAUACCGGAUAUGACUCCUCAUCGCAUGGUGGGGGGUGGAAAGCUUUUUUGUGGUUUUUGGAUGGACUCGCGGCCUAUCAGCUUGUUGGUGAGGUAAUGGCUCACCAAGGCGACGACGGGUAGCCGGCCUGAGAGGGUGACCGGCCACACUGGGACUGAGACACGGCCCAGACCUCCGUACGGGAGGCAG
This 237-nucleotide ribosomal RNA is filed under the name uncultured bacterium. Its description in RNAcentral is "partial 16S ribosomal RNA". It matches the Rfam family "Bacterial small subunit ribosomal RNA", at positions 118 to 351 of the family's 1533-position model. The record is from RNAcentral.